RNAcentral lists this non-coding RNA (75 nucleotides) under Talaromyces marneffei ATCC 18224. Lineage: Eukaryota; Fungi; Ascomycota; Eurotiomycetes; Eurotiales; Trichocomaceae. The record is from RNAcentral.
CUCUCGCAACGAGCUCACACCUCAACGCGGUGCUAGAGUCUAGUAACCAUGCAGAUGGCGAAGCUAAGAUGAGCU